This is a non-coding RNA of Chiloscyllium plagiosum (whitespotted bambooshark), 1056 nucleotides long. NCBI's taxonomy places the organism in Eukaryota, Metazoa, Chordata, Chondrichthyes, Orectolobiformes, Hemiscylliidae. The record is from RefSeq and is a predicted model, not a curated record.
UUUCCAGUUCCUCGGAUGCUGCCUGACCUGUUGCGCUUUUCUAGCACCACUCUAAUCUUGACCUUGAUCUGCUACAUCUACCCAAACUGGACUCCUUACUCCUUUUCAGUUUAAAGUAACUCUACUUUCCAACUUAUGGUUUUGAGAGAAUAUUGUGCAUCAUGGUUCAGGUAUAGACCAUCCCAACGGUACAGACCCCACUUUCACCAGGCCUGAUUUCCAUGUCCCACAAACCAGGACCCACUUCUCCUCCAGAAGGGCUUUGAGCUAUUUAUCCAAUUUGCUAAUGUUAGUGCCCUCUGGUAAUAAUCAUUACCAAUGAGGUUCUGUUCUUCAAUUUGGUGUCCAUUUCCUCACAUUCUUGAAGCAAAUCCAUUUCCAUGUCCUGCCCUUGACAUUUAGUGUCAGAGAGAUCACCAACACAUUCAGCCCAUUGUUUCAGCCCUGGUCAAAAGCAACCAUCUAACUAUUCUAAUCUCAUGUUCCAGCACUUGGCCCAUAGUCUUGCAUACCUUAGCAUUGCAAGUGCACAGCUAAAUACUUCUUAAUUGUUGUGACGGAUUUUCCCUGCACCACCCUUACAGAUAGUAAGUUCCAGAUUCCAGCUUGUGCUUAACUGACUGCCACAACUGGAUCCUCUGCCUCCCAUUGUAAGUUCCUGAGACCUGGCACCAGGCAAGCAGCACGGCUCUCUAGGACCGAUCCUCUUGUCUACAUAGGACAGUGUCUAUACCCCUCACUAUACUAUCCCUUGCUCCCACUAAUUUCUUGGUGCUGUCCCCACUUGAAUGGCAUCCUGUACCAUGGUGCCAUGUUAGCUAGCUCAUUCACUCUGCAGCCUCCAGUCUCAUCCACGCAAGUUUAAAGAACCUCAAACCUGAUAGACAGUGGCAGAGCCUUCUACGCCUGCAGUACUACCUUCUGAAUCCCCUUACCUGCUUCACUUGCAGUCACACAUUCCUGUCUCUGACCACUGAGCAAAUCAGACCCAAUCUUAAAUGAGGCAAAAGCAGAAAUUGCUGGUGAAACUCAACAGGUCUCGUGACACCUGUGGGA